CAGUCGCCACGGUAAUACGUAGGGUGCGAGCGUUAAUCGGAAUUACUGGGCGUAAAGCGUGCGCAGGCGGUUGUGUAAGACAGGUGUGAAAUCCCCGGGCUUAACCUGGGAACUGCGCUUGUGACUGCACAGCUAGAGUAUGGCAGAGGGGGGUGGAAUCCCACGUGUAGCAGUGAAAUGCGUAGAGAUGUGGAGGAACACCGAUGGCGAAGGCAGCCCCCUGGGCCAAUACUGACGCUCAUGCACGAAAGCGUGGGGAGCAAACAGGAUUAGAUACCCCCGUAGUCCCUGUCUCUUAUAC
RNAcentral lists this ribosomal RNA (301 nucleotides) under uncultured bacterium. RNAcentral describes it as "partial 16S ribosomal RNA". It matches the Rfam family "Bacterial small subunit ribosomal RNA", at positions 509 to 807 of the family's 1533-position model. The record is from RNAcentral.